Sarcophilus harrisii (Tasmanian devil) is the source of this 3150-nucleotide RNA transcript. It is a transcript of the gene named Cbp/p300 interacting transactivator with Glu/Asp rich carboxy-terminal domain 1, with no coding region annotated. The transcript is spliced from 3 exons. Lineage: Eukaryota; Metazoa; Chordata; Mammalia; Dasyuromorphia; Dasyuridae. The record is from RefSeq and is a predicted model, not a curated record.
UGGAGGGGAGAGGCUCCCUUAAGAUUCUUUUUGGUUCUUGGAGUCUGCUGACGAUCUGGAGGUUCAUGACACAGAACGCUGCUUUGUGAAAGAGCCCACACAUGCCCAUGGGAAGUGAAGUGUGACAAAUGGAUCCGAGUUCUGGACGGGCCGGGACCCUGUGCUCCCGAGCUCUAGCACACCUGGCGCGGGCCUUCCCAAAGGGACCGCCCACUCGUAUUCAGACCCUCUGUGCCCAGCUGCGGAGACCCCUCUCUUCACUCCCGCGGCUUGGUGAUGCUACGAUGAGUCCGGACCGAACCCAACCAAACCGGGUCCUCACGGCGCCCUGCUUCCCCUCAUUCCCCCUUCCGCUCCCUUCUGUUUGUUUUCAGAGUGAUUCAUUGCCCCUCUUUUCCCUGGUGCUCUCCUACUAUCUCCCUCCUUAUCUGAGAUGCCAACUGCCUGCUAGCCCUGCUUGUUCUGUCCUUUCCAGUACAAAGAACAUUCUCCUUGGCAGAGAAAGCAGAAGCAGAAGAAGGGCGUCAUCAUCGAGCCUGGUCUGGGGUGCCAGGGCUCCCUCCUCCACAUGCCCCACCCUCACAUGCCCCCCUCCUCACAAAAAGCCUCUCCUUCCUUCCUCAUUUUUUUCUCCUUUUAUGACUUGGCUUUUCCUUACCGGCCUCAACCUCUUCAAGGGCCUUGGCCCACCUGACGUGAUCCUUCCGGAACUGGGCCACGGUUUUGCCCUCCAAGCUUCGCCGUUGCCUGCCCCCCUUCCGGGUUCUAUGGGGCUCUUUAAAGUUCCUUUCCUCUUCCUUGGAUUUGCUUUCAUUCCGCAGAGCUUUGCACUCCUCCCGGGCCGACUUCCCCCGUUGAACUGGAGGCCGAGAGAUCUGGCCUCCUCAUCUUCCGAACUCUUUGAAAUCUGCCCUUUGAACUCUUCCAGUGUGAUCUAUAUGCACCCCGCCCCCUUCUCCGGUACAAGUUCAAAGACAUAAGGGGUCCUUCUCCCAAGCUGCUUCAUCAUUCCCACCCCAGAGUCUAGAAGAGAAUUGCCUCUGUUGGUUUCUACACCUUUUCAAGGAUUGAUUUAUCAUUGACAAGUCAAAACAAUUGCUAGAGAGAAAAAAAAAAAAAGAGAAGCUGGGAAAAUGAGGGAAGAAGGGAGAGGAGAGAGCCAGAUUAGCUGGAAGAGCCCAAUGGGUUUCACUUGGAGUCAAAGCCUCCCCUCUGGCAUGGACUGCCCGCUUCUCUCCAUGGGCCUCAUCUUCCCCCAUCCUAGAAGGGGGGGCUUGGAGCAGAACGGUUCUGAGCUUGGAUUUCACAUCACAUCUCCUUCCCCAGCUCCUUCUCCGUUUCCUUGGCUCCUCGUGGAUUUCCUCUCGGGUCUGGUGGCCUGGAUAUGGGGGCGCUUCUCUCUCGGCUGCCACGACCUUUCAUUCCAGUCCCUGCGGUCCUUGCUUCCUUCACAGAGCGGGACUCUCCCCUUGCCUCUUCUUUCCCCUUUGUCAUUAUUCACACUAAUUCCGGAGCCAUUCUUGAGUCACCCCAAGUCCCCGGGCCCAUUCUAACCAGCUGGGAGUGCUAGAUAUCUGAGGUCAAAUCGCCUUUCACGUGCGAGGAUCUCAAUAUCGCUUUGCCUCCGCCCCACCCUUUGUGAACUUGUGUGUAGACCUCGGAGGCUCCGGGGCUUGUUGCUGCCUCUUUUCUGUGGCUUUCUGGGUGUCUCUCUCCUGCUAUUUUCCUUCCUGCAAUGUAGUGACUGUCUGUCUGGGAUGGUGGAGGUACAGAAACCGAGUUCUCCAGAUUUAGACUAGCAACUGUUCGGGAUCUUCUAGAGUGACCUAGGCAGGCACAGAAACAUAGGUGGCAGAGGUGGGCCUGGGAGCCUGCCCUCCUCGUAUUCCCCCCAGCUAGCUUGGGGCCCGGUACACGCGUGCAGGGACUCAUGGGCUGAUUGCUGACCUGCAGGGUGUCGUGCUGCCCACGGUUAUCGGAGCGCCCGGGCCUCCGAGAAGCCGGCUGGCUUUGCGGGUGCGGGUGCGGGUUUGCACAAAGGUGGGAUUCCCUUUGCUCAUUGGAGCCAGAGACGCUGUAAAUUUGGAGAGGGCCGCUGGGACCAGGUGGCUUUGGAGGUCGAUCCCCCGCCUUCAGCCGCCCGGGCCAUGACAUCAUCUCCUUUUAUUCCACCCACCACAUGGCAAGGAGGUCAGGUUCCCUUAUUUGAGCAGCUUGUCGCUGCUGUUGGCCUGUGCCCCAAACAAGGCCCGGGCAGGGCUUCUAAUUCAAGGCUGAAAAGGCAGGCCGUUCUUGUGCCUGGCCCAGAGGCGGGGAAAGAGGUGAGCCUGCCGAAGGGGCCGACUAGCGUCCUUCCCGCAGCAGCCAAGCCCUCCUCUGGCUCAGCAAAAUACACCCAUUGCCCUAAGUGGGGACGAAUGCCCAGGGCUGGUUCAUUUGACAGAUUGUGCCGGAAGCCGAGAUCUGGAGGCCAGCUAGUCCGAUCCCUUCCCCCUUGUACAAGAAGGUCACUUUGCCCCCUUGGGCCUCGGUUUCCCCACCUACAAAAUGCUUAGAGAGCUAGUUGGAGUCUGUAAAAGGCUUUGCAAACCUUCAAGUGGCAAUGUGAACGAUUCAUUUGGGUUACGUGGUGUCAUUUCUUGAAUCCAGAGUCCUCCCCCAUGGCCUCCUGGGGACACGGCAGUGGCCUUGUUUUUAGUUUUCUUGCUGUUCUUUCGUUGAUAUCUGUGACAUUGUAUCUGUUCCCAACCGUCUCUUAUAACAAAGAAGUCCCAGAGGAAGAACUGGGUCAGGGACUCCCACUUCUUUAUCUUCACUGGGCACGUACGUACUUGGUCAAGUUUGGGAGUCUGGCCACGUGGCUUCCCUUUCCCCCGCCGGCCACUGCCGGUGGCGCUGCUCCCUUCACUCUGCGUCAGUUGGUCAGAGUCCUCCCAAGCCGCUCACUGCUCAGAGUGCCGUCCUGUGGCGCUCCCUUCCCACGGUGGACUUUGUGGAUAUUUGAUGAGCGCACGCCCCUGGGAGACCACUGCCAGGCUGCCCCUCCCGUAGCCCACCACUCGCUGAUGAGGGCACUGGGCUACAUGACUCCAUGAAACAGGGUUCUGGUUCCAAGAGAUGAGCUCUCUCUGGUCUGUCCAAAACUGAGUA